GAAAUGCGAUACGUAAUGCGAAUUGCAGAACUCCGUGAAUCAUCGAAUCUUUGAACGCAUGUUGCGCCCGAGGCUCUGCCGAGGGCACGUCCGUUUGAGCGCCACAA
Molecule: ribosomal RNA, 107 nt
Filed under: Closterium ehrenbergii
Lineage: Eukaryota; Viridiplantae; Streptophyta; Zygnematophyceae; Desmidiales; Closteriaceae
Description: partial 5.8S ribosomal RNA
Rfam family: 5.8S ribosomal RNA
About the family: 5.8S ribosomal RNA (5.8S rRNA) is a component of the large subunit of the eukaryotic ribosome.
Source: RNAcentral